Molecule: unclassified non-coding RNA, 199 nt
Filed under: rhizosphere metagenome
Description: partial ribosomal RNA internal transcribed spacer region
Source: RNAcentral
GAGUGAGGGCCCUCUGGGUCCAACCUCCCACCCGUGUUUAUCGUACCUUGUUGCUUCGGUGGGCCCGCCUCACGGCCGCCGGGGGGCAUCUGCUCCCGGGCCCGCGCCCACCGAAGACACCUAGAACUCUGUCUGAAGAUUGAAGUCUGAGUGAAAUUAUAAAUUAUUUAAAACUUUCAACAACGGAUCUCUUGGUUCC